This is a long non-coding RNA of Coregonus clupeaformis (lake whitefish), 925 nucleotides long. RefSeq lists it as uncharacterized. The transcript is spliced from 3 exons. Lineage: Eukaryota; Metazoa; Chordata; Actinopteri; Salmoniformes; Salmonidae. The record is from RefSeq and is a predicted model, not a curated record.
GAUAGGAUGGGAGUGGAUCAGAUGAUUAUAUAAAAGUAUAAUGCGCCCGUGUCACCAACGGAUGAUCGAGAUGGUAUGUCUGGUAUCACUUUAAAUGUUCACAACUCUCAGGACGGCGUAUUUCUCCCUGCCGCUUAUUUCCUGCUUGACCUUGUGAACUCGUCCGUGUGACCCGGAAAAAUCACUUCCAAUUCUCAUAUUUUAUUUUUAUAUGCCUGGGCUUGUUAUGUAUUACCCAGACAGGAUGUGACAUCACCGGGUCCAAACGGCAGGACGGGCUGUCUAGGAUGUCCAGAACCCGGGCUGCUGUAGGAUGCUGCCUCGCAGCGGGGUCCAGACAAGUGAUGCUCGCUGGAGGAUGCAGGAGAGAACCACGCAGGCGAGACAGAGGCACAGGAGACUGAAAUCUCUCUAUUUCCUUUACCUCCUGGUUUGAGAAUGACCCCCUCACCUGGCUUGUGACUCUUAAACUGGAUAUCACUCCUGAGAGUUGGCUCAGGGACAGACUACUCCUGUUCAACCACAGCAGGCUGUCUCUCCUCCGACAGACUGCGCUGUGAGAGAGCCAAGCCAUUAGACACUCCCAGUGCUGAUAAUGAAGACACAGAGGUGGUCCAAAGCAGCGUGAUGCAGUGGAGGAGAGAAGAGCAGGAGCAGAGAAGGAAGGUAGAUUAGGAUAAUUACCUGGCGUCGGUGGUAAAGAGAGAGAGAGAGAGAGAGAGAGAGAGAGAGAGAGAGAGAUGUCUUACUUCCAGCCGUCUCCAUUUGCAAAAGGAGUAUUACCGCAAUAUUGCCAAUUGCAGGAUUGAGGAUUCAUGGUUUAUGGGGCAGGAAAAGAGAAAUUGUAACAUCAAAUGAGUCAUUUCAAUUCCCAGUGAAUGUCAAUAUAAUGUGCUGUGUGGUCUGAUAAUAGGAACAAAAUAAA